This 66-nucleotide ribosomal RNA is filed under the name Rhipidoglossum rutilum. Its description in RNAcentral is "partial 5.8S ribosomal RNA". It matches the Rfam family "5.8S ribosomal RNA", at positions 1 to 61 of the family's 154-position model. Rfam says of the family: 5.8S ribosomal RNA (5.8S rRNA) is a component of the large subunit of the eukaryotic ribosome. It is transcribed by RNA polymerase I as part of the 45S precursor that also contains 18S and 28S rRNA. Lineage: Eukaryota; Viridiplantae; Streptophyta; Magnoliopsida; Asparagales; Orchidaceae. The record is from RNAcentral. RNAcentral also lists the same sequence under 45 other names.
GACACGACUCUCGGCAAUGGAUAUCUCGGCUCUCGCAUCGAUGAAGAGCGCAGCGAAAUGCGAUAC